CUGGACCAGCUACUGGCAAAAAGUUUGUGUGGGAGAGAUGCCAUGUCCAUGUUUUCCACUAGCAGGCGUUCUUGCUGUUUACAGACACAUAAGUUCCUUAUGGCACAAAAUUUUGUGUUUGCGUGAAUUCUUUUUCCCUAGCAACCAGAGAUCAGUGGCUUCAGGGAUUCACAAUGCAGUCCUAUCCUCUGGCUCUGUCUCAACGACAGGCUGCUGCUUGCAAAUUUUGGGUUGCUACAUGAUUUUUCCUUUAGCCUUAUCUUCCCUGCUUUUCUUUGAUGCCAAUCUGGGUCCAGGGAAACCCCUGCUGCCAGGCCGUGCACCACCUAUCCCUGUCAAUCCAGAGAAGUUCCGGGUCUGUCUUCCUAGGGUGGGCCACCUGCUUUGAUCUGCUGCCUUUGUCUGAGGCCACUAGUUGGAAUUUGUAACGAUGUUCCAUUUAAAUAGGAAAAGUUGUUCAUUGUGUUUGGGGUGACUAUAAAGUCUGACUCACUUUGAAAUCAGUAGCAAAGGCAACAGCAAUUCUAAAACGCAAAGUGCCAAGAAGUGGGAAGCUGUGGUGCCCGAGGCAGCCGGCAUGACUCAGUAUCUCACUCUCAGAUAAAACAUCUUCCCAGCUGGAAUAUGGAGGGGAAUAAUAAGUAAGACUGGGCUUGGAAAGUGUCUGGCAUGUAGAAACUGUUCAAAAAGUUCUAGUUCUCUCUACCAGCAUCCUGACACUAUUUUUAAAAAGGUGGAAAAUCACACAUGUAAAAAUAUACUAUUUGGGUAAGAAAAAUCUUUUUGUUUUUUUUUAAGAUUUUACUUAUUUAUUUGACAGAGAGAGACACAGCGAGAAAGGGAACACAAGCAGGGGGAGUGGGAGAGGGAGAAGCAGGCUUCCCGCGGAACAGGGAGCCCGAUGCGGGGCUCGGUCCCAGGACCCUGGGACUGAGCUGAAGACAGAUGCUUAACGACUGAGCCACCCAGGCGCCCCAAGAAAAAUCUAAUCAUUUGAUGAGUAUCAACAGGCUUCUGCUCUAGUUCCUCCUACUGGGCAUCCUUGAAGCCCAUCCCUAAGCAGCAUCAAGAAAAGAAGAUUCAAAAUCAGAAGCCAUUUCGCAUUCUUCCAACUUACUGUAACGACUGGUAUCUAUCAUUCUGUAUGUCAUCAUUAUACUAAAAGAUUGUCUAGUAUUUUUUUCUGAUUUCCCCUCUAUGGCAGGCAGGUUGUGAGGAGAAGGGGAAGCAAGGGAUGAGGAGGGGUCUCAGCUAAGUAAGGUCAGUCUUACAGUGCAGAACUGGCAGGCAGAUCUCUUACGUGGAGCUUUGCAAGGCUGGGGCUCAAGAGCGGAGAAAAAUCCAAGUCAGCCAAGAGGCUCCAAAUGUGUCUGUUAACAAAUGCACCAACCUGGGGUGUGUAUAGGGAAACAUUUUCAACUAAGAGAUCACAGAAUAAGAAGUUGGAGACAAAUGGCAAACAAGUCAAGCAAGAGUGGUCUAGGGCAGAGGUCUAGAUCUUCAUCAUGAUGACAUAGUGGGCCUGGAACUGGUAAAGGGACAGGGACAGAGCGGAGAGUCUUAUAUUUGGUUUAUUCAUUUGCCUUACCUUUCUGCCCUCCCUAAAUGGGAAACCUGAGGGGUAAACCUGUUGUCACCAGCUGGACCCCCCCUUAUAAUAUCCAGCCAAAUACCUCAUAAAGAGUAGGUGACCCAGAGUUAUUUACUAAUUUAAAAGAUAAUUAUCACUUUGGAUAAAUACAGGGAGGAUGUGAUUAUAAAAUAACACCGAUCUACAAGAUAAACAUAAAAUAUCAGUGCCAUCCAAGGAGACAAAAGUGCAAUUUUGCUAGUGAAUGCAAUUCCAAAGUAAAUGCAUGAUACAUGUUUUUAGAGUAGUUUUUCAUAGAAUAACCACACCUUGAAUUUAAUGCAUUUUAAUCUGGGGGGACAAUGAUACAUUUCACCAAUGGCUUCUGUAAUUUCAGACCUGGGAUUUGCUGGAUGAGUUGCAAAUGUAUGAAAAAUGGUUUGGGAAAACAAUUUUUAUUCAUUAAGUUGUUUGUUUUGAUAGAUAAAAAAGCACAUAUCUUUCUAAAGUGAUGUUUAUUUCAUGUUUUGAGUGGCAGAAAAAAUAAUUGCAUGUUUGAAAUCUUUGAAAUAUGUUUUAAUGCUUUUAAAAUGACUUAAGAGCAAAUGUGCCAAAUUUACCCACUUCUUAAGCCAUUCUGUGGUUGAAAGUUAGCUUCGCUUUCUAAGCUUUAUGGAAUUAUUCAAUAUGUUCUUUGAUUAUAUCUUUUAAACUGCAGUCAGUGUCUGUACCUGGUGGUAUGAUUAGAACAUUUGACACACCUGUAGCAAGAUUUUGCCAAGAAGAGAUAUUACAGAUAUUGUGUAAAUGCUUGAUUGAAGCUCUAAAAAUGGAUAUGAGUAUUUUUGAAUAUAAUAGAACUAUACAAACAUGGUCUUAUAAUAGGAUUUCAUUGGUAGAUUCAACAUGUAUAUGCCUGGUAUAUAUACUGGGAAUUAGUUUUUAGUAAAGACUAACUGCCUUUCUAAUUUGAAAUGUUUUUAUUUUAAUGAGACAUGGUAUUUAAAAGGAUUGGAUAAGGCUAUAAAAUUCAGACCCAAGUUCGGUCUACAGAACUUCCUGAGUGCCUAUUAAACGUGUAUUUUAAGUUACUGGGGAUUAUAGCAUUCUCUGAACACAUAUUUGCUGGUACUAACUGGUAAUUGAUACUUUAUUGUACACUAAGUAUAUGGUAGCCACUGUUCUAAGUGCUUAUAUAUAUUAACUGUUUAAUCCUCACAACAUGCCCUAUGAGACGGGUAUGAUUAGUAUCAAUUUACAGAUGAGUUGAUGGAGGCAUAGAGAAAGAAGUGAUUUGGGACGCCUGGGUGGCUCAGUCGGUUGGGCGUCUGCCUUCGGCUCAGGUCAUGAUCCCAGGGUCCUGGGAUCGAGCCCCACAUCUGGCUCCCUGCUCAGUGGGGAGCUUGCUUCUCCCUCUGCCUGCCACUACCCCCUGCUUGUGUUCUCUCUCCCUCUCUCUCUGGCAAGUGAAUAAAUAAAAUCUUAAAAAAAGGAGAAAAGAAAGGAAGUGAUUUGUUUUAAAGUCACACAGAUAGCCUGGAUUUGAGGCCAGUUACUCUUGGUUUCAGCAUCUGUACUUCUAACUACUGUGACAGACUAUGUGCCAGGAGCUUUGGUAAAAUGAAGCUUUUGUGCCAUACUUCCAAGUAGAAGAAACUCACCAGAAUUAGAGAAUUUCGGGGGGGUAAAAGCAGACCCCUCCCAAAGGUCAUUUAAUCUAACCAUUCUGCCGAUGAUCGUGCUCUCAAGGAGUCUGCAGGCUGCCAUGGAGAUGGGGAGAAAUAACAAUGCAGUGGAAUCUCUGUAAUGAGCUGUUCAGGGACAGAAACAGUGCCCUCCUUAUAGGUUAAACAUGUUAUAUCAGGCUUUUAUUAUAUUUACUGCUGGGUCUUAGGAUCUGGGAUUUGGCCUAUGUUAUUUCCAAAUCCUUAUAUACUGAGCUGUGCUACGGCAGGUUUCUACCAUUAUAGCUAUAAAUACAAUACACACAAACACACAAAGGUAUGCACCGAAGUAUAAAAUUACGAGGGAAAUGGGAAGGAUAAAAAAAUGAAUUGUUAGGUUUGAGGGAUUAUUACUGGUGGCACUGGUCUGGCUAGAUCUUGAUAGGAAAUGAGAGUAGUGUGGAAAGAUUUCAGGGGCAUCAUGCAAGUUGAAUACAGAUUUGUGAGGGUCAAAUGAUGUAGACAGAUUUCAGAUGGUGCAAUGACAUGCAUAAAUUAUUUCAUAGAAAAAGGGUGUCUGUGUACUUAGUGCUUCCAAAUAUGUUGACAGAAUAAAUGUAGGGGCUAAGAAUCUGAGAGCUAUAUCAGAGAUGCUGUCAUAAAUAUCAUUUCCCCAAGUUUUGGAAGGCAGAAAUAGUACAUUAUUUGUAUUUGUGUUCUUCAUGUCUCGCAUGUAAUAGUUUGAGUAUCACUUGUUGAAUUUAUGUGUACAAAAUGUUAUGUAAGCAGAGGGGAGAAUAUGUCAGGAAGUUAAAUGAAGUGUCAUCCAAUAGGUAACAUUUGAGUAUGAUAAAGGGGUAUGUAGAUAAGGGAUAUUGUUGGUGGGGUGUGUGUGUGGAAGUAGGUGGAGAGUAUGUUUCAUUCCCAUUCCUGUUUUCUUUCAUGGGAAAGAAAACCACAAGCAUAACACCCCCCUCAGUUUCUCCCAGUUUUUCCCUCAGUCAUCUGCCUUCCAGAAAGAUGGAGUGAGGUACCUACUUGUUGACUCUGGGAUAAGGAACUGGUGGUUGCAUGUAGCUCAAGUAUUUCCUCCUUUCUCCUCUUUUGAGUAAGCCCCUUUUCUUUCUCAAAAUUUAAUAACGAAGGGCGCCUGGGUGGCUCAGUUGGUUGAGCGUCUGCCUUCAGCUCAGGUCAUGAUCCCAGGGUCCUGGGAUUGAGCCCCGCCUCGGGCUCCCUGCUCCUUGGGAGCUUGCUUCUCCCUCUGCCCCGACCCCCUGCUGUGCUCUCACUCUCUCUCAUGCUCUCUCUCAAAUAAACAAAUAAAAUCUUUGAAAAAAAAUUUAAUAAGGGAGCAGGGAGACUCUGUUGGAGGCCCAUAGUUGCCCAGCACUGUCUGCAUCUGGGUGGGUCUAUCUGUGAAGUUCCGGGAGUAGACUAUCAAGAAGCCCAUUGCUGCCAUAUAGUAAGCUAACUCUAUUCUUCAAAAUCAGCCCUAUUGGUAAUGAAAGUGAUACUUGGUUCUCUCUGUUUUUACUUUUUUGUUUUAUUUCUUAGUUUAUUCAGAGCUUGGAGAGGGUUAUAAUUUAUUGAAUUCCCUCUAAUCUCAAUAUAGCCACCAGGGACAGGAAUUCCUGGAAUCAAGAAUAGUAUUUAUAAAAACAUAUAGAACUGAAAAUGCAUAAUGUGUUUGGGAAGGAGUCAGACUUCUGUAUGGCUGUAAGAAUGAGCAUGAUAGAAUAAUCAAUGGAAGUUUAGGGUUGAAUCAAGAAAGGACUCAUGGCAUGCUAAAGAGUUAGACUUGAUCCUUUGGACUUUAUGGUUCUCUAAGUACUGUCUGCAGACCCCUGAGGUCUCCAAGAACCUUUGAGGGAGUCCAUGAGGCCAAAACUACAUUCAUAAUAAUACUAAGACAUUGUUUACUUUUUUCAUUCUCCUCUCCUGUGGGUACAGGAAAGUUUUCCAAAGGCUAUAUGAUGUGCAAUAUUGCAACAAAUUGAAUGCCAAAACAGAUAUGAGACUUCUGUUUCUACUAUAAUAAAAUAUCUUUUAAGCCAGAAUUAAAGAGAUUUGCAAAAUGUAAAGCAAUGCCAUAUAUCUCACUAGUGUUUUUUUUUUUUUUUUUUUGGAAAAUAGUUAUCUCUCAUAAACAUGGUAUUUGUGUUAACACAUAUGGGUUUAUUUUUUAAUGAAUUAAAUAAAAAAUUCAAAUUUUGUUUAUAUCAACUUACAGUAAUAUAUUUAUAAUACAGGAAAUAUUAAUAAGUAUAAUUCAUGUAAAUAAAAGCUCUUUGGGGCCCUUAAUAAUUUUUAAAACCAUGAAGAGGUCCUGCUACCAAAAUGUUUGAGAAUGGACAAUGGAGAAACUCUGGAGGUUUUAAAAUAGAAGAGCAACACGAUCUGUUUCAUAUUAGACAUUGAAUUCUUCAAAAGUUACAAAGGAUGUCUAUGCCCAGUGUUGGUAAAGAUGUAGGAAAUGAGCAUUCUUAUGUUCCAUUGGUAGGAAUAUGAAUCAGUACAGCCUUCAAAUGGGUAGUUUGGGCAAUAUGUACCAAACAAGUGUAAAUGAACAUGCAUAUUCUUUGACUUAGAAAUUCCACUUUUAGGGAUUUAUCCUAAGGAAAUAACUGACCAAAUGUUAAAGAUAGAAACACCAUAUAUUAAUAUUAUUGUAGUAUUAUUUAUAAUGACUAAAAAAUUAAAGAAACAACCUAGAUGCUCAUGUUUUAGGUUCUGCCAGUUUUGGAAAUCAACCCACUGCAUGGGCCAGACUGUCUUGAUUCCUUCUUUUAAUUAUAAUGAGAUGGAGCCUCGCAUUUCAAGAGGCAGAGGCUUAUGAAAGGUUUGCAUGUGCCCUUUAUCCUCUGUCAAACUCAGUGCCCAAAUAAUGUUCCAAACCCAACUGCACUGCUUUCAGCCAUCUGCCUCAAGUUGAGAGACUUAGAAGUCCAAAGUGUCCCAACACUCAGGGCUGGCACUGUCCCCCCAGGGCCUGCAAGACAGCAGGGAUAGAAAUAGUACAUUGAUUGGGGCACCUGGGUGGCUCAGUCAUUAAGCGUCUGCCUUUGGCUCAGGUCAUGAUCCCAGGGUCCUGGGAUCGAGCCCCGCAUCUGGCUCCCUGCUCAGUGGGGAGCCUGCUUCUCCUUCUCCCACUUCUCCUGCUUAUGUUCCCUCUCUCGCUCUGUCUCUCUCUGUCAAAUAAAUAAAAAAAAUUGUAAAAAAAAGAAAAGAAAUAGUACACAGUUCUACAUCCACAGAUUUGACUGGGCUACCUUUCCUAGGGUAAAACUGUAAGCCCACAAUAAAAUUCUUUUACAUCUUCCUGUUGCCCUAUGUAGGAUGUAAAAAUAUGAGUUUUUCACAAAAUACUUCAUUUUUUUUUUUAAAAAGGAACACAGUUCAUAAACUACACAAGCUCUAAUCAAAGGAUUCAGUGAAGUGACUUGUUUUACAACAGUGCAAAUACACAGAUUUCUUAGUGUGAGAGCACACUGACUCUUGACAAUAUUAGAUUUGUUCCCACAAGAAGAAAAGGAAACAUUCAUGGUUGGCACCAGAAUUUUCAAGCCCAUUUAGUAUUUCCUUAGGAAAUCCCAGCAGUAAUCCACCAAUAUGGAAUUGGUAAAAUUCUGGUAUGGAAAGACUAUUAGUAACCUCAAGAAUGAAGAAAUAUGUACUCCUUUUUUUUUUUUUUUUAAAGAUUUAUUUAUUUGAGAGAGAGUGAGAGAGCAAAGACAUGCGAGUGGGGGGAGUGUCAAAUGGAGAGAAUCUCAAGCAGACUCCUGCUGAGCUCAGAGCCCGUCGUAGUGCUCGAUCCCAUUACCCAUGAGUUCAUGACCGGAGCUGAAACCAAGAGUUGGAGCCUCAACCGGCUGAGCCACCCAGGCACCCCAAUAAAGAUGUUCUUCUUAUCUUUGUGCCUCUAUAGGAUACUAUUGGUAUAUUAUCUGAAGACCUGGAUGACGAGAAGGAGAUGGCCUGGGAAGAUCCACAGGAAAAAGAUGGGACAAGAUGGCUAGAGUGACUGGAUUUGGGUAUUUCCCUUCCUCAGGUCAGUUACACUUUGAUAAUACCUGACUAGGUUAGAAUCUGGUUAAUUCUUUCCCCUGAGGGUCGGUCUUAUUAAAAGGAGAAUCCUCUGAGGUAUUUCAAAAUCAUUCCUUUCCCUCCCCCUACGGAAGCCCAAGGGGAUUUUUCUCCUAUACUUACUGUGGGAAGCUGGUUGUGCUCCUCAGGGGUAAAUCUCACAAUAUAGUCAGGACUCCCCUAUGACUGGGUCCCUUUGGAAUUUUUAACGUAGUCAGACUUGUCUGCACUGAGCCUCUGGCAAUUCAUCAGUUACAGUUCGUAUUUUCCUACCCUGGCACUGGUUCGUGUAGUGGUUUCUGCUUGUGAGUCUCUGCUCUCCUAAACUACAACUCUUUGCAUUUGCUUGUCUGUCUCUCCAAUCUUGGAGGUGGUGAUUUGCCCUGGGUCCUCCUUUCUCUUGCAGAUCCAAGAAGAGUUGUUGAUUUUUCAGUCUCUUCAGCUUCUUCCUUGUUCUUAAGGUGGAGUGUCAACAUCCAAGUUCUUAUAUGGUGGAACCAGAAACCAGAAGUGUAAAUGAUUUAAAAAAAAUAAGAAUGACUGCAUUAAAAUUUAUGUUUAAAAUCUCCGUUAAUAGAUUUAAAAAUAGGUGAAGAAAUCUAUAUAGGUCUGUAAUCUAUUUAACCAUUUUUUACCAAUGUCAGUUUCUUGGUUUUGAUAAUACACUACAGUUAAUGUAAAGACAUUACCGAUGCAGGAAACUUGGUACACAGAAACUCUGUAGUGUAUUUUGCAACUUCCUGUGAAUCUAUAACUAUUUGAAAAUGAAGUUCUUUUUAAAUUAAAUGAAGUUAGCACAAGAAGAGAAAAAAUUCAAAGCCUUGAUAUAUAAAAAGCUUACCAAUGAAAAAUACAUCCUAGUAGAAAAGUGGACAAAAGUCAUAAAUAGGUAUUUUGCAAAACAUAGGUAGCUAAAUUUAUGAAAAGUUGUCCAAACUCACUAAUAGUCAAGAAACCACAAAUAGAAGACUUACCACUUUCUAUUUAUCAGCUUAGUAAUGUUAACAAUGGACAUAAUAAUACCAAAUGUGGCCAAGUGUAUGAGUAGUUGGGCACUUCAUCUAAUGCUAGUAGAAAAAUAAGUUGGCACAAUUUUGUAGGAAGCCAAUUUGAUAACACAUAAAGUCACAAAAAGUUGCAAAUUAACAUACAGGGAUUUAUUUUAGGAAAUAAGGAUGUGUACAAAAACAUCUAUAAGAAUGUCCCUUGGGGCACCUGGGUGGCUCAGUUGGUUGAGUGUCUGGCUUUUGAUUUUGGCUCAGGCCGUGAUCCUGGGGUCCUGGAAUCAUCCCCCAGUGCGGAGUCUGCUCAGUGCGGAGUCUGCUUGAGAGUCUCCCUCUCCCUCUGCCCCUUCCCCAGUUCUCAUGCUCUCUCUCUCUCAAAUGAAUAAAUAUAUUAAAAAAUGAAUGAAUAAAUAAGUAAAUAAAUAAAUAAAAUGAAUAAAUAAAUCUUAAAAAAAUGUUCCAUAAGCAUUAUUUAUAAUAAGAAAUCUUUUUUUUAAAAGAUUUUAUUUAUUUAUUUGAGAGAGAGAAUGAGAGAGAGAGAGCAUGAGAAGGGGGAGGGUCAGAGGGAGAAGCAGACCCCCCGCUGAGCAGGGAGCCGGAUGCAGGACUCUCCCGGGACUCCAGGAUCAUGACCUGAGCCGAAGGCAGUCGCUUAACCAACUGAGCCACCCAGGCGCCCUAUAAUAAGAAAUCUUAAGGAACAGUAACAAGAAAAUGAUUAAAUAAAUACAAGCGUUAUCAUCAUUGUAGAAGAAUUUUAAAUGGGGGACGCCUGGGUGGCUCACUUGGUUAAGCAUCUCCCUUCGGCUCAGGUCAUGAUCUCAGGGUCCUGGGAUCAAGUCCCGCAUCGGGCUCCUUGCUCAGCAGGAAGCCUGCUUCUCCCUCUGCCUGCCGCUCCCCUGCUUGUGCUUUCUCUCUCUCUCUCUGACAAAUAAAUAAAAUCUUUAAAAAAAAAAAAAAGAAAGAAUUUUAAAUGGUGUGGAAAAAUGAUGUCUGCUACAAAAAAUCAAAUUUAAAAAAAUAUGAGAAGAGAGUUUCCAAAGGCUCUCCUCAUGCCUCAGUUAGGUCACUACACAACACCUCUUUCCCAACUGCACUUACUAUCUUGACUUCUAAUAGUAUAUCUUAGUUUUGCUAAACUUUAAAUGCAUUCAAACAGUAUAUAUAUAUAUAUGUAUAUAUAUAUAUAUAUAUAUAUAAACUAUAUAUGGUUUUUAUCAUUCAACUUUAUAGUUUUGCAUUUUUUCCAUGUUGCAUGAAAAAAUAAUACAUUAAUCUUUAUAGCUCUUUUCAAUUGUAUGCAUAUAAUAAAAUGUAUUAUCCAUAUAAUUGUACUAUUAUUAGUUUGGUACUACUAAUAGUGUAAGAAAAUGAAAGUAUAUAUAAAGUAUGAUGUCAAUUAUAUUUGCAAAGGUUAUACAUAGAGAGAAAAACAUGGAAUAACAAAUAGCAGUAAUUGGAUAUCCUGGGGUAGUAGAAUCAUGUAUGAUUUAUUUUCUUCCUUGCAGUUGUGUAAGUUGUAUUUUAAAAUAUUGAUCAUUUAUUCUUUUUAAGAUUUUAAGCAAUGUCUACACCCAAAGUGGGACUUGAACUCACAACCCGGAGAGCAAGAGUCACAUGCUCUACCGACUGAACCAGCUAGGUGCCGCAAUCAUGUAUAACUUUUAUAAAAUCAAACAGACUUAAACAAAAUUUGUCAUCCAAAUUUAUUAAACUCCAAUUAGUCUAGGUGAUACAGGAACAAUACUCUUUUAUAUUUUUAAAGCUUAUAAUCUCAAAGAUCAGCUAAUAUAAGAUGGUAGGAACACCUAAACAUGUGUAAGUCAAGUAAAGCUCUAUAGCAGAGCCAAGAGGAAAUCUGUAAAGAAAAGAACGUGAAGUUGGCAGUUAGUCAGAUCUGGACUUAAGUCCUACCUUUAAUGAUUUAAAAAAAAACCCAAAAAACAAAAAGUUCAGUUUUCCCAGCUAAGAAUGGGGAUAAUAAUAUUACAUCAUCUGAGCUAUAAUGAGAAGUAAAUGACAUAGAUACAUAGAUGCCUAAUAUACAGAAUAUGUUCAAUAAUUGUAAGUUUCCUUUUCCAAAGAGAGUUGUGGUAAUAAAAGAAGUAGGUUUUGGAAAGUUUGGAAAGAGAAAGAUAAAAACACAAUGAAGAGGUAAGAGGUCCUAGGUUAUUC
This is a long non-coding RNA of Mirounga angustirostris (Northern elephant seal), 10496 nucleotides long. RefSeq lists it as uncharacterized. The record is from RefSeq and is a predicted model, not a curated record. NCBI's taxonomy places the organism in Eukaryota, Metazoa, Chordata, Mammalia, Carnivora, Phocidae. The transcript has 3 exons.